This is a long non-coding RNA of Passer domesticus (house sparrow), 1849 nucleotides long. RefSeq lists it as uncharacterized. NCBI's taxonomy places the organism in Eukaryota, Metazoa, Chordata, Aves, Passeriformes, Passeridae. The record is from RefSeq and is a predicted model, not a curated record. The transcript has 3 exons.
CAGCAGCACGUAGCGCCAUCUUUUCUUUCUAGUCCUUGGGCUCGCUGCCCAAAGUUAGGUGAGAACGGUCAGCACAGGGCCCCUGAGAUUUGCAGGUCUGUGAGAAAACCCUGUUAGCUCUUGACAUUUCUACCGGCAAGAAAGAGGUCUGUGCUAAAUACCUUGAUUUCUGUGUAACCGUCUAUUCAGUGACAAGUCCCUUAAGGAUGUGGCGAAUGGAAAAGGACUCUUGCUCCUGCCUUUAGACUCCAACCUCAGAUUUUUCCCCACUGCUUAGCCUUGAAAGUGAACCACUCCUUAAUGGGCUUGGAUCCGGUUAGGGAGACAUUCAGAGCAAGGUGGCUCUUGGGGAAGCUGUCUUUGGAGAGGAUGUGUGCUGGGUUGCUAUCCUUGAGCAAUCUCCUUUCGGGAAAGCCAAAAGGAAGAAGAAAGUAGAGAGCGAAACACUGUCUCAAGUGUCUGAAGAAAACAAUUCCAAUGUUGCUGCUGACUUGAAAGACUUGAUUGGACCUUCAAAGAACAAAGCAGAAAAGAGUGUGGAAAUACCCUGGGACAAAGAGGACGCACAGGACUCUGGCCCAGGUGACCAUUUGGGACCUUUGCCUGAGACGGAUGCAGCUCAGGAGUGGAGUGCUUUCAGGUUUUCCUUCUUUGGAGACACAGAGGAGUUGGGCAUCAAAGAAGGAAUUCGGGAAGGCAUGCUUCGAGAAGGCAUUGGGUACUUUGCAGAGUGGUGGAAAAACUUGUUGUCAUGCCCUGAAUUCCUCAAAGAGGGCAAAAGAACCUUAGGUACUUGGAACAACAAAACCGGUACAAGUCACGUGGCAAGAGGAUCGACGUGUCCAAGACUGCAGUUCAGAGGGUGAUGAUGAACCCGAGAUGUCAGAAAUUGAAAAGGACCGAGAAAUGCAAGUUCCAUUGCUCUUUGUUGUCUCCUUGGCGAUAAUAGCUGGAUGCUGUGUCAAUAUUAAGAGCAGGACUCAGCAAGUGGGAAACUGACAUUGCACGCCCCUGAAAGCCAUCUUGGAAAACCAUUUGUGCUGCACAGAGUCAAAACGCCCAGCAGCCUGUUUGCUGUGAAGUGGAAUGUGGAAAAGGAGAAGUAGAGCACAAGAAAUUUUCCGGGUCAUUUGGGUUUGACCAACUCCAAACGGAGUUUGGCCAAAAGCCAAAGACACAGUCAGUUUUCUCUUUCAAAGUGGGUUUUGUAAAAUCAAAAGCUCUAUUUGGGUACUAUGGAAUAAAGUUUUUCAAUGUACAAAAUUUCUCUGAAGCACUACAGUUUCAAGUCAUGCGCAUGGAAUUUCAUAGUACAAUUUAGGAUGCUAAAAUCCCUUUGUAAUUGUCUAGGUUUCUUUCUUUACUACGCACACAGAAAGUGCUAGAGUUUGCUUCUUCUCCGACAAUGAUGAACGCCUAAGAAGUAGGACAGAAUUUCUCCACCCCCUUUUGGAUUUCUUUCCCUUCUGAACCUUUCCUGCACUAGUUAUGAAUGUUUUCUAGCAAAAUUUGCCACCCUUACUUGUGGCCAAAAUAGUGGUGGAAUCCCAUGAGCAAGUCCUGGUAAAAUAGAGGUCAAGCAGAUUUCUGGCUUACUUUUCUUUCAGAUAUUUGGCUAAUAGGAACCUGGAAUUUUAGAGCUUAUCAAAAACUUAGUCACUUGACAGGUUACCUAGACAGUUUGGAUCCCUUCAGGUAUGUGUAGCAUCUUGAACUUUUUCCUGCCUUUCUUUCGGGUGUUACCAUCAGGAAUGUUGAGUUUGGCUUGUAUGUGCCUGUGGUUCUUUGUCCUCAUGAAUCUGGGGCUUUCUCUUCUGAAUCCAGUGAAUUUGGUGUUUAGAAACAAAGC